This 5250-nucleotide long non-coding RNA is filed under the name Sus scrofa (pig). RNAcentral's name for it is "lncRNA (ENSSSCG00030029051.1)". The record is from RNAcentral. Lineage: Eukaryota; Metazoa; Chordata; Mammalia; Artiodactyla; Suidae.
UUUUUUUUUUUUGUUUUUUUUUUUCUUUUUCAGCCGCACCCAUGGCAUAUGGACAUCCUGAGCCAAGGACUGAAUCCAAGCCAUAUCUGUGGCCUAUGCCACAGCUGAGGUAAUGCCAGAUCCUUAACCCAUUGGGCCCACAGUGGGAACUCUGGGAUAGUUUAAUAAUGGAAAAUUUAAAAAGAAUGUUUUACCACAGUCAUAAGUCUAAUGGAAUAAGCUAUUACAAUUUCAGUAUAUUCUGAUUGGGGAAAAAAGGGUAGAGCCUUUCGUAUAUUUUUGUUUAUAAAAUUUUCCUAGAAAAGCAGAAAUGAUAGGCAAUGUAACAUCUAAUAUCACAAAAAUGAAACAAUAUUAGGUCAGAAAUUAGAAACAAUACUCAAUUUUAAUACAGUUAUUUAAAAUAAUUCUGGAGGCUCUGGCCAAAACAAAUAAUUUUUGAAACAAAUCAUAAAGGAAGGAUUUCACCCAUGUGACCAAGAGUUGCAACCUGCCUGCACAGACUGUGCUUGGUUAUCCAGCCCAGGUCAUUUCAAAAUGUUUCGGUUAUUAGCCAUCACACACAGUACCUGCAAUUUGAAGGCUUUCUGCCAAAAAUGAAUCCCAACCUGUCUUAGCCAUUGUCUCCCUAUAUAUCCACAAAAUCUAAGUAAAUCUCUAACAAAGCAAAAACAAAACUAAAUACCUUACCAACAAGAGAGUUCAAUAUAGUCACCAGACAGAAGAGAAAUAAAUAAACAAAUAUAAAUCAAUUGUUGUACACUGGUAACAAGAACUUAAUAGAUACAAUAGAGGAGAACGAAUGACAUCAAAGUCUAGAGAUAAUCAUUUUAAAUACCUGAAAGUGACUACUUAGAUAAAAUUAGUUAGAAACGCAAGCAACAUAUGAUUGAGAAAGUAAAGUAAAACUUGAGGUUCCUUUAUGGAAGGUCUAUAUAUCUUAAAGCUGUAAAUUCUUUCAAAAAAUGUAGAGAUUAACCAAUUAUCCUAAAUGUUACCUGAAAGGAUUUAAGGCAAGACCAAUUAAGAGAACUUCUGGGAAAUUCUGCAUGCCAUGGGUGCCACCAAAAAAAAAAAACCCCUCCAAACUACAAUGUGAACUUGUAAAAAGUUGUAAAAGUUAUAAAAAAUUCUGGAAAUUAGAAGGAAGGGGAGAAUCUAUCAGCUGCAGUUCAUUCAUUCAUGUAUGUAGCAAACAUUUAUUUAUUUACUUUGCUUUUUAGGGCCGCAACCACGGCAUAUGGAGGUUCCUAGGCUAGGGGUCUAAUUGGCGCUGAAGUGGCUGACCUACACCACAGCCACAGCAGCGCCAGAUCCGAGCCUCAUCUGCGACCUACACCACAGCUCAUGGGCAACACCAGAUCCUUAACCCACUGCCUAACCCACAGCCAGGGGUCAAACCUGCAAUCUCAUGGUUCCUAGUCAGAUUCACUUCUGCUGUGCCAGGAAGGGAACUCCUGUAGCAAACAUCUAUUAAGCUCCUAAUAUAUACUGGUUAUUUUAGGUAUAGACAUCAGAAAAGGUUCUUUGGGAGGAGGUAUCAUUUGAUAUUAGCUGUGAAAUAUGGGUAGCAUAUUUCCAGAAAGAGAUGAGGGCAGAAAGGACAUUUUAAUGGAAGGAGCCAUGGUGAGCAGUUUCAUUUGUAAGUGGCAAGGGUACAUGUAAACAGAGCCAAUGAUAAAGUUGUAAAGGCUUAUUGGCCCCUUCUUGAGAAAGGAUAUAAAUGUGAGCCUCAGGCAUUUGUUCUUAAUUUGUUGAGCAAUCAAGUCUUUCAAGGUUGAUAAGAAAGACAUGUUUUUAACUAAAAUGGAUGUUUGUCACUCCCUGGGAAAUAAUCUAUUAUCUCUGAAACUUUGUGCAAUGAGGCUCUCUCUUGAGUUAUUUGAGACACUGCACUGAGUCUGUAGUAAGAAUAAUAAAUAGUAUCAUGUUUCUUGCCUCUAAGAGCAGCUCAAAAAAGUUUCUCAUGAUUCACUGUAGCCACCACAAAAGGGAAAGUGUUACAGUCACUAGUGGAUGGGACAUGACAACAACAGAUACCCCAUGCUGGCAGGCAUCUCUUAGGGAUGAGGAUAUACAAGUAAUCAAAACACCAUGUUGUCUCAAGGCCAAAAGGGAGAGAUAGAGAGAUAACAUGCAAUAACCUUGCGCUUACAGGAGGAGGGGCUCUAUGUCAUCCUUGAGGAAAGGAAAAAAUACAUCACUGUCUAUUAUCUACUAUAGACAUGUGCCAUGCCAAAGCACAUUUGUACAUGAGAUAUAUAUAUAUACACACACACAUACACAUGUAUAUAUAUACACACAUUUUCAAACAUGAAAUAUUGCAUAAUUAUAAUAACAAUAGCAUAUAUUACUUUACAAAUAACAAACAUAUUACAUAUACAGUUUUCCUGACUUCAAGAGUUCAGAAUUUAUGAAAGUUUCCAUAGACUUUAGAAUGCCAGGGAUUAAUUUAAAGGCUUUGGUAGGGCUGACACUGUUACUAAAAUAAUAAUGUCUCUGUGGAUUAAAAAAAUGUACACUUGUACAUAUUUUAAAAAUUUACCUAUGUUUACUUGUGAGACAACAUUUUUUUGAGAGAUUAAAGAAGUUUCAGCAGAGAUCAGAGUUCAGAGACUUGGUGAUUAAUAUUUUCUAUUUUAUUUUAGGCCACAUUUGCUCUAGUAUGGUAGGGAAGAGUUGAUAUCACAUUCUGAGGAAACUUGGCAGCUUCUUUUUUGAUAGAGUUAAUCAAAAAUGAAUCAAGACUCUAGCUUCAGGGCUUCUGAAUUAAUGAUAACUUGAAGGAGAUAAAGAGCAGCAGCAACAAUGUAUUUGUAAAGUCAAAACUUCAAAAUGAGUCAGAACAGCUCAUUUAGAUAAAACAUAAACCUAAUUGGCUAAAUUAAAGCAAGACUGUGAUUCCUGAUACAGCUGGGCUCAAGGCAUGUUGUGGUUCCAUAAUGUAACCACAUGAAGUGGAGGAGCCACAAGUUAGAAGCAUCCCAAAAAACACCUAACAAGAGAGGCAAGUUAAUGGGAAAUCAGCCAUGUGCCUUAACCAGAAAUCAGCUAUGUUUCUUAGAGACAAUGAAUAGGCUUUUUCUGGAAGUAGAUUAAAAAGUUGUUUUUUCUGGUUUUAAAAAUGAUUCUUGACACAAAGAACUUCAGAGAAAGGAGCUUAAAUAUUAUGUAGCAGGUAUGAAAAUUAGUAUACAGAAAUCUCAUUUAAAGUGGAAUUGGGAGGCCUGAAUGGGAAGCUCUCACACCCUCCACUGGAUGUCACUUGCAGCCAUAAAAGGAGCUAUAACUUGUAAUACACUCAGUACUGUGCAAUGGCUAUAUGGGAAAAGAAUAUGAAAGGGAAUGGAUAUAUGUAUAUGUGUGGCUGGUUUACUUUAUAUACACCUGACACUAAUGAAGCUUUGUAGGUCACCUAUACUCCAAUAAUAUGUAUAUAACUUUGCAUCUCCAACAUAGAGAAGUUAAUACUUUACUACUAAGCAGGAGAAGGGAAGAAUUUCUCCUUGAGGGACAACAGCCCAGCCAAUGAGAGACUAACAUAAAUCAGCCAAUGAAAAGCUACUAUACUUCAGAACGCCAAUGAACAAUUUGUUUAUAAAAGUCCCUUGCAAUUUGCUCUUCUCCUCUGUAAAAGAAUAUUCCUCCCCUUUGCUCUCCAAACUUGGCUGUGGUUCACCAUAGGUUACAUGUUCUGAAUUGCAAUUCUUUGCUAUUCCUGAAUAAACUCAUUUGGCUGAUAAAAUAAUUGGCGGUUUUAUUGUUUUAGGUCAACAAAGGCAACCCUUUUAUUUUGCAAUGAAACUGACACCCAAAAAGAUUAUGAGUUUUGCUUGGGCUUUACAGUUGGCUCUACAGCUCAUUAGCUAAGACACGAAUUCUGAUCUGAGGUAACAGCUACAUAGGUUGCUUGACCCUCCUCACUUCUCUCCAACAUCAUUUCCAUAGCUUUUUUGAUCUCCCAGUUUUCCUCCAGUCCAUAUAGUUUACCACUGACAGGCUUAUUUAUAAUGUCAAAGUAUUGCUAUAAAACCUUCAGUAGCUCCUGCCUUUUCACAGCCUAACAAAGUCUUUUGCAAUCAGAACUCCUCCACCAAAAGAUAAUUUCUAAUCAUCUAGAUUACUAUUUACCAGUAAAAAAAAAAAAACUCUUCCACAGCCUUAUUGCCUUUUAGUUUCCUGAGCCAUGUUUCAUCCAUCACAUCCACACAUAUUUCUCAUUACUUACACUCCUGAAGGAGUGAAUGAAUUGCUAAUAAACAUGCUUAUUAUGCUCCCCGCCCCCUUUAUUUUAGGGUCACACCCACAGCAUAUGGAGGUUCCCAGGCUAGGGGUCGAAUCAGAGCUGCAGCUGCUGGCCUACAUCACAGCCACAGCAAUGCUGGAUCCGAGCCAUGUCUGCGACUUACACCACAGCUCAUGGUAAUGCCAGAUCCUUAACCCACUAAGUGAGGCCAGAGAUGGAAUCUGUGUCCUUAUGGAUACUAGUCAGGUUUGUUAAUCGAUGAGCCAUGAUGGGAACUCCCAUAUGCUCUCUUUUUAAAAAUUAGACAAAUAUCUAUCUUUCAGUGUAUAAACCAUUCUUCACCUUAACAUAAAGCUCUUUCCACUCACAUACUCGCCCUCAUUUCUCCACUCCAUCCUUCAAACCAUACUUGCCUAUCAAGCUCUCAGUUGCAUAUUUUUGGACAAGUAAUGUGAAAAUUGUGAAACUAAAAUAGGAUUUGAAGUCACGUUGGUGCAGAUCAAUAUACCAUAUGCUAGUGGAAGGAAAAUAGUAUAUAUUUUUUCAGUUUCGGAGUCCAGUAUUUAAGCUAGAAUCUCUUCCAAAAUAGCUUAAUCCCAAUAACAGAAGCCUCCAGAUUCUGUGGGCUAUUUAACAAGAUGAUAUAGUAAAUCUUGCUUGGCUUAUAUUUGGUAUUAUUCUUUUUAUUCCUUAGAGGGUUUGAUUCUCCCUACCUAUUAUUUUAAAGCUUAAAUAGGAUGUUUAUUCUCAGAAUUUCCUGUCAUUGAUAAUUUCUUUCAAGAAAAAAAGUCCUAAGAAAAAAAUCAGGAGAAAUAUCUGCAAUCCAUGACUAGGUGAAAAAAAUCAGAGUAUGUGUUUUGGUCUAAUAGUUCUUGCAUUUCUUUACUAUAAUAUUUGUGACCAUUUAAAUAUAACUGGAAUAUAUUCAUGUUUUUGCCUAAAAAUACAGUUGCUCUCUUCAAAUUUAGCCUUUUCCAAAAUUGUUAUCAUUCAUGAUUAUUGAU